CUUUGAGACAAGGACAUGCAUCAGCUCUUGGAACCCUGCAAUUUCCAGCCCAGUCUGAAUUCAGUUUUAGUUUAUCUUUCUGUGAUGUUCGGGAAAUUUACAAUGGUUCAAAAGCAGAAUGCCAAGAAGAGCAGAUGUCCUUUCUUCAUUGAUAGCAAUAUCCAUCCAACAGAUAUCCUGAUGGAGCCUGAAAGAAGAGCCUUAAGGUUUCUGCACUCUGUUGAUCCCCAAACACCAAGUCUCUGUAUUGGUGCAAACUGAACUUCUGUACUUUGCAGUCAUGCAGCCUCCUCACUGUCCUUGCCACCCGCAAGUAUAGAAGACCUUUAUCCUUUCUUCAGGAAGAUAACAAAACAGAAACAUACCCAUGAGGAGAGAAUCGCUUCCAGUAACAGAGCACUACAGAUAAGCAACCUAAAAUGUGUUGCACAUGCAGGCAUUAUUUCUGCAGGGCUUCAACUAAAGACUGGCCUGAAACUCUCCCGUGUAACAAAGAUUUCAACACAAAGAGGACACUCAAUGCAACAUAAAGCAUGGUCUUGGUGAAAAGCAGAGCAUUAUGGGGUAUAUGGGUGAAUGGGAGCUAAAAUCUAAAGAAAACCUAUCUGCUAAAAUAGUACAGUCAUUGGUAUAUAAAAAUGUGCAUACCAAAUAUCAUAUCUAUGCUGGACAAAAAGCUUAUCGUAAAUCUACUAACAAAGGCCAGACUGCAGAUUUGCAAACAUGAACUCAGAAGCAACCCCGAAUCUACAGAAAACUACAUUACCAUUCAUAUCUGUCAAAGAAAAAGUUCCAUAAAUAAUGAAGCACACAUAUACCUGGGAAUCUUCUGGGACUUUAUGAAACAGUAAAUCAAUUCACUGCCAAGUUUACUCUCUAGCAAUGCCAGAGUUAUGCAGUUUGUUGCUCAGGGUAAUUACUUGCCUUUGAGAUUUUGGGUUAUAUUGGAAAACAGACAAAUGAAAGAAAUCAUACUAUGGAGGAUUUUUAAUUGCCAUUAUAGAUAUUACUCACUUGCAAAGAAAAAAGGAAAACUAAGCAUUCAUGUACUGAAUUAC
This 1058-nucleotide long non-coding RNA is filed under the name Dromaius novaehollandiae (emu). RNAcentral's name for it is "lncRNA (ENSDNVG00000016812.1)". The record is from RNAcentral. Lineage: Eukaryota; Metazoa; Chordata; Aves; Casuariiformes; Dromaiidae.